Non-coding RNA from Ataeniobius toweri, 72 nucleotides. The record is from the annotation of a GenBank genome assembly. Lineage: Eukaryota; Metazoa; Chordata; Actinopteri; Cyprinodontiformes; Goodeidae.
UCCCUGAUGGUGUAGUGGUCAGGAUUUGGUGCUUUCACCGCUGUGGCCUGGGUUCGAUUCCCAGUCAGGGAA